GGUGGCUGAGUGAUUGGCUAACUAAACAGGCAGUUAAGUAGUUAGUCGACUUGUUGGGUGAUGCAAUGAGAGCGCCGCUGUGCACUGCGCUCAUUGAGCUAUUGACUAAUCGCCGAUGAUGGCACAACCGUAAACACACACAGCGGUGUUUAAAUAUUUAUAUACACACAUGAAUACAGUUAUUUACUGAGUUGUGUAUUGAGUUGCCGGCAUUGUAUAGUAUUCGUUACCGAAUGCGCUUGCCACUUAAGUGCGAUUGAUUGCAGUAGGCGCUAUUAAUUGACAAUUUACAACAACAAUGUAGCUUUGCAAUUGACAAACAACCUUCAAAAUUUUUGCUUGUAAACAGUAAAAGUCUCAAAAUUACCAUUUUGGCAAUAAUGUUUGAGGCGAUUUUGUGUGUGAAACUAACAACCAGUAACUAAUUAACAAAAAAAUUCUAACUUUUAACAAAUUGAUUUUAAUUUGGUGAAUUUCUUAUAAGUGGACUACUAAUGGCUUCAGACUUUCUAUGUAUAACGGUGUCUAUAUUUCUAGGCUUUGGAGUCACCAUAUUCGGAUCGACCUUAAGGUAUCAUAUAUAAAGGUUUAAAUCAAUCUGAGUGUGUAUACAUAAAUAUAUCUGCAUAUCCACGAAAAAUGAUGAACCUCAAUCUAGAGUUUAUGAUUUCAAGUGGAUCUAAUGACAAAAAUAUAAUAAUCUUAUUCUAUAGUAGCUCAACGGAACUGCAUACUGCAAUAUCAAAACCAUAAAUGUAUCAAUACAUCUGAGUUUGGCUCCAUUACAAAAUAAUAAAUACGAUGUGAUAAUACUUUCAAGUAAUCUUGCUAAUAUGAACCUCCGAAUCACAACUCAAGUAUAAGAAGCUUAUGAAGCGAGAACAGUUUCUAUCCUGGAAGGUACACUACUUUCUCGACAGAACUUUCUACAUAUGCAUAACUAAAUAGAUAUUUAAUUAGAUUUGAAUCAAAUUUGAAAUAAUAUGUAAGUGCAAGAAGAGGAAACUUUUUAUACUAAAGAAUACUCUUUCCAAUAAAUUUUCCUCCAAAUACAGUUGAACUUUUCAUUAAAACAUAAAAUUUUUCAACAAGCUGUAAAAUAUAGAUUUAUACAUAGUUGACGUUGAACACCAAAAGCUCCGUUAUGAUUGUGAAUAACCUCUCCGAGCCGUUCGAUACCAAACGAGGUUUCAGACAAGGUGACUCAAUAUAGUUUGACUUCUUUAACUUGAUGCACAAGAAGAAGAAGGUACAAUCUUCUAUAAGAGUGUACAGCUACUGGCGUACACCGAUGAUAUUGAUAUCAUCGGAAGCAACGUACUGCUUUUUGCCGCCUGGAUAAGGAAGCGAAGCGAAUGGGUCUGGAGGUGAACGAGGACAAGGCGAAAUAUCUUCUGUCAUCAAACAAACGCGUAUUGGCUGCCACGUCACUGUUGAAAGUCAUAACUUUGAAGUCGUAGAUACUUUCGUCUACUUGGGAACCAGCGUUAACAACGCCAACAAUGUCAGCCUCGAGAUCUCCAGCGCAGAAUCACUCUUGCUAAACGGUGCUACUUUGGACUGUCAUCUGUCGACAAACCAAAACCAAACUCCACAAUUCGCUUAUCAUUCCCAUCCUGGUGCAGAAGAGUGAACGAUGACAACAUCCGAUGAGAUGAGACUUGAGGUUUUCGAGAAAAAGGUUUUGCGGAAGAUCUAUGGUCCUCAGAACAUUGGCAACGGCGAAUACCGCAGAUGAUGGAACGAUGUUUGAGUUAUACGACGACAUUGACAUAGUUCAGCGAAUUAAAAAACAGCGGUUACCCUGGAUAGGUCAUGUUGUCCGAAUGGACGAAAACACUCAAGCUCUGAAAGUGUUCGAUGCAGUACCCGCCGGAGGAAGCCAAGGAAGGGGAAGGCCUCAACUCCGUUGGAGGUACCAGGUGGAGAGCGAUCUGGUUACACUUCGGAUCUCCAACAGGCGUGGAAAUGCGAGGGAAAGAGAGGAGUGGCGCACUAUGAUCGAUUCGGCUACAACCGGCUAAACGGUUUCCACGCCAAUUACAUACAUACAUACACAGUUGUAUUUAUUUAUUUCGCAUAAAGUUAAUUCUUUGAAACAUGUAUUCUAUAAUUUUGUUUGUUGCAGUUUGCUAUUGUUUGGUUCUUGUUACAGGAUUAAUCAAUCCAUAAGUGUAAUACCAUAUUUUUUGUUCGCUUACAUACGAUAAAAUUAUUUUUCUUUUUUUGGUUCGAUUUAUGGAAGGAAAUUUGACUUUUAUUGCCAAUUCAAGAGUUCGGAUUAUGAAGAUCUUGGAGUUAUAGAAGUUCGAUACGAAUAACUUUGACUAAACCAAUCUGUAUGUACAUAUAUAUAUGUAUAUUUAACUAAUUUGAGAACAUAACUAUGGAUAUUGCGAAAAUUCGCACUAUUUCCCAAAAUUUGUUGAAGAUAACCACCCUUCAUUGAAUUUUGAGCUAUAGUUACAGAAGAUAUCGGUAAAUAGAUUAUUUUUGAACGCAAAAUGGAUGUCCAUAUGAUUCUCCUGGUAUCCUUUGAUGAGUGCUGGCUGGUAUUACAGCGGCUUUCGUGAAGAAAUAUGGAUGCAUUCCCUUUGACCAC
Zeugodacus cucurbitae (melon fly) is the source of this 2602-nucleotide long non-coding RNA. RefSeq lists it as uncharacterized. The transcript is spliced from 3 exons. The record is from RefSeq and is a predicted model, not a curated record. Lineage: Eukaryota; Metazoa; Arthropoda; Insecta; Diptera; Tephritidae.